This 82-nucleotide transfer RNA is filed under the name uncultured Parendozoicomonas sp. RNAcentral describes it as "Selenocysteine transfer RNA". It matches the Rfam family "Selenocysteine transfer RNA". Lineage: Bacteria; Pseudomonadati; Pseudomonadota; Gammaproteobacteria; Oceanospirillales; Endozoicomonadaceae. The record is from RNAcentral.
AGUGGAUGGGAUCUGGUGGUCCCCUUGGUCUUCAAAACCAAUGUGAGCCGUGAAGGCUCUGGUAGGUUCGAUUCCUGCUCCU